CAGGCCUAACACAUGCAAGUCGAACGCACCGCAAGGUGAGUGGCAGACGGGUGAGUAACACGUGGGAAUCUACCCGACCCUUCGGAACAGCUCUGGGAAACUGGAGCUAAUACCGGAUACGCCCUUCGGGGGAAAGAUUUAUCGGGGUGGGAUGAGCCCGCGUCGGAUUAGCUAGUUGGGGGGGUAAGGGCCCACCAAGGCGAUGAUCAGUAGGGGUUCUGAGAGGAUUGGCCCCCACAUGGGUACUGAGAUACGGACCCAACUCCUACGGGAGGCAGCAGUAGGGAAUAUUGGGCAAUGGGCGAGAGCCUGACCCAGCCAUGCCGCGUGCCGGAUGAAGGCGCUCAGCGUUGUAAACGGCUUUUGACUGGGAAGAACGGCAGGUUUGCGAACUUGGUGACGGUAUAAAAGAAGCGCCCAGGUUCAUCAUGAUGCGCCCAGCCGCUGACACCAUCCAAUUGGCCGCCACCAU
RNAcentral lists this ribosomal RNA (472 nucleotides) under uncultured bacterium. RNAcentral describes it as "bacterial SSU rRNA". It matches the Rfam family "Bacterial small subunit ribosomal RNA", at positions 43 to 535 of the family's 1533-position model. The record is from RNAcentral.